This 253-nucleotide ribosomal RNA is filed under the name uncultured bacterium. RNAcentral's name for it is "partial 16S ribosomal RNA". It matches the Rfam family "Bacterial small subunit ribosomal RNA", at positions 524 to 776 of the family's 1533-position model. The record is from RNAcentral.
UACAGAGGGGGCAAGCGUUGUUCGGAAUUACUGGGCGUAAAGGGCGCGUAGGCGGCCUGCUAAGUCGAACGUGAAAUCCCCGGGCUCAACCCGGGAACUGCGUCCGAUACUGGCAGGCUUGAAUCCGGGAGAGGGAUGUGGAAUUCCAGGUGUAGCGGUGAAAUGCGUAGAUAUCUGGAGGAACACCGGUGGCGAAGGCGGCAUCCUGGACCGGUAUUGACGCUGAUGCGCGAAAGCCAGGGGAGCAAACGAG